Molecule: ribosomal RNA, 716 nt
Filed under: Bacillus sp. (in: firmicutes)
Lineage: Bacteria; Bacillati; Bacillota; Bacilli; Caryophanales; Bacillaceae
Description: bacterial SSU rRNA
Rfam family: Bacterial small subunit ribosomal RNA
Source: RNAcentral
GGCGGACGUCUGCGGAAUGAGCGGCGGAUGGGUGAGUAACACGUGGGCAACCUGCCUGUAAGCUCGGGAUAACUAGCGGAAACGCUAGCUAAUACCGAAUAACGCUGCGCACCGCAUGGCGCGCAGAUGAAAGGCGGCGCAAGCUGCCACUUACAGAUGGGCCCGCGGCGCAUUAGCUAGUUGGUGGGGUAACGGCCUACCAAGGCGACGAUGCGUAGCCGACCUGAGAGGGUGAUCGGCCACACUGGGACUGAGACACGGCCCAGACUCCUACGGGAGGCAGCAGUAGGGAAUAUUCCGCAAUGGGCGAAAGCCUGACGGAGCGACGCCGCGUGAGCGAUGAAGGUCUUCGGAUCGUAAAGCUCUGUUGUUAGGGAAGAACAAGUACCGGAGUAACUGCCGGUACCUUGACGGUACCUAACCAGAAAGCCCCGGCUAACUACGUGCCAGCAGCCGCGGUAAUACGUAGGGGGCGAGCGUUGUCCGGAAUUAUUGGGCGUAAAGGGCGCGUAGGCGGUCUCUUAAGUCUGAUGUGAAAGCCCCCGGCUUAACCGGGGAGGGUCAUUGGAAACUGGGAGACUUGAGUGCAGAGAGGGAAGCGGAAUUCCAUGUGUAGCGGUGAAAUGCGUAGAGAUAUGGAGGAACACCAGUGGCGAAGCGGCUUCCUGGCCUGUAACUGACGCUGAGGCGCGAAGCGUGGGGAGCAAACAGGAUUA